This 512-nucleotide unclassified non-coding RNA is filed under the name Hevea brasiliensis (rubber tree). Lineage: Eukaryota; Viridiplantae; Streptophyta; Magnoliopsida; Malpighiales; Euphorbiaceae. The record is from RNAcentral.
UUUUUUUUUUUUUUUCCAGUAUGAAAGGUUAAAUUUGUUGUAUUGUGUGAGUAAGUUGGUGACCUUUCAUUUCUUUAUUUCAUUUGUUGAAUUUUGCAAUAAUGUAUUUAUUACCUCUUUGAUCUUAAUUUUGUUUGGCUACACUUGGAAGAUGUUUGCUUUAAAUGCUUGAAGACUUGGCUUAUUUUAAGAUGCCAAAAAAAGAAAAGAAAGCAUGGAAUUAUUAAAAUAUGGAGGAAACAUAGAGAUAAUAUGAAAUGGAAUAGUUGUGAUUUGUCACAUGACAUUCAACAUGUACCCAAAAUAUUAAAGUUUUUCGUAUGAUGCAAAAGGUACACUUUAAGUUUUUACAAAAAAAAAAUUAAAAGAUGCAACUUUGCUAUUUAGGAGUCAUAUCCAAUGCUUUAAAUAUAACUUAAUGAUUUAUCUUGUCAUUAUUUAUUUAUUUUUGCUGCAUAUUAUUCCAAAUUAUUUUGUCCAGGUUUCACCUUUCUUGGAAAUCCAUGAUAUAG